RNAcentral lists this ribosomal RNA (1333 nucleotides) under metagenome. RNAcentral's name for it is "bacterial LSU rRNA". It matches the Rfam family "Bacterial large subunit ribosomal RNA", at positions 910 to 2228 of the family's 2925-position model. The record is from RNAcentral.
UUGAUCGGGCUAGGGGGCGUAAAGCUUACCGAACCUAGUUAAACUACGAAUGGCUAUACUAUAGAACUUGGGAGUCAGACUGCGAGUGAUAAGACCCGUAGUCAAGAGGGAAACAGCCCAGAACGCCGACUAAGGUCCCAAAUGCUGUGCUAAGUGGAAAAGGAUGUAAAACUUCACAAACAACCAGGAUGUUGGCUUAGAAGCAGCCACCAUUCAAAGAGUGCGUAAUAGCUCACUGGUCGAGAGGUUUUGCGCCGGAAAUGUCCGGGGCUAAAGCACAGAACCGAAGUCGCGUCAGAUUGAAAAAUAUCUGGGUAGGGGAGCGUUCUUAUCGGGCAGAAGCAAUACCGUAAGGAGUUGUGGACUGAUAAGAAGUGAGAAUGCCGGUAUGAGUAGCGAAAAGAACAGUGAGAAUCUGUUCCACCGAAAGCCUAAGGGUUCCUGAGCAACGAUCGUCGACUCAGGGUAAGUCGGGACCUAAGCCGAGGCGUAGAGCGUAGGCGAUGGACAACUGGUAAAUAUUCCAGUACCACCAAUAAUCAUUUGAGUGAUGGAGUGACACAGAAGGAAGGUUAAGCGCGAGGAUGGAAAUUCGCGUCUAAGCUGGUAGGGUGUGAUGUAGGCAAAUCCGCAUCAUGAAAGCCUGAGAAGUGAUGGGUAUAGUUACCUCGGUAACUAGAAACUAACUGGACCACGCUGUCAAGAAAAGCUUCUAGCGAGAUUAAAGGUGCCCGUACCGUAAACCGACACAGGUAGGCGGGGAGAGAAUCCUAAGGUGCGCGGGAAAACCCUCGUUAAGGAACUCGGCAAAAUGUAUCCGUAACUUCGGGAAAAGGAUAACCUAAGCUGGUGAAGUCAUUAACUGACGGAGCUGGAGUAGGUCACAGGAGAGAGGCCCAAGCGACUGUUUACCACAAACACAGGUGCCUGCUAAAGAGAAAUCUGACGUAUAGGUGCUGACACCUGCCCGGUGCUGGAAGGUUAAGAGGAGUGCCUAGAGCAAUCGAAGGUAUGAAUUGAAGCCCCAGUAAACGGCGGCCGUAACAAUAACGGUCCUAAGGUAGCGAAAUUCCUUGUCGGGUAAGUUCCGACCCGCACGAAAGGUGUAACGACUUGGGCACUGUCUCAACGAGGGACCCGGUGAAAUUGAAAUACCUGUGAAGAUGCAGGUUACCCGCGACUGGACAGAAAGACACCAUGGAGCUUUACUGCAACCUGACAUUGAAUUUUGGUAAAUAAUGUACAGGAUAGGUGGGAGACGGAGAAUAAGGAACGCCAGUUUCUUAGGAGUCAUUGUUGGGAUACCACCCUUUAUUUACUGAAAUUCUAACCG